Molecule: ribosomal RNA, 426 nt
Filed under: Triticum aestivum (bread wheat)
Lineage: Eukaryota; Viridiplantae; Streptophyta; Magnoliopsida; Poales; Poaceae
Description: partial small subunit ribosomal RNA
Source: RNAcentral
AUGGAGCAAGAUAGAGAAAAAACUCCUAUCCCAGUUGAUCGAGCUGAACCCACCCACCGCCGGGAAGUACAAUCAGUCUCUCAUGCUUUCAUGGAUAAUGUUUUUAAGUGGAAUGGAUUGCCAAAGUCAAUAGUCUCUGAUAGAAACUGGAUAUUCACAAGUAACAUGUGGCAGGCCUUCUUCAAAGCACUGCAAGUGAAAUUGAGGUUUAGCUCUGCCUAUCACCCACAAUCAGAUGGCCAGAUAGAACAUGUGAAACAGUGUGUGGAAAAUUACUUGCGUUGCAUGGUUUUUCAGCAACCAAGGAAGUGGGCUAGUUUGGAUCAAGCAAAUGCCACUUGGGAGGAUGCCGACUUCAUCAAAGGUCUCUUUCCGGAGUUCUAUACAACUCCUAUUCGUGGUUGGUGCCCUAAUUCCAACACUUGA